RNAcentral lists this ribosomal RNA (478 nucleotides) under uncultured bacterium. Its description in RNAcentral is "partial 16S ribosomal RNA". It matches the Rfam family "Bacterial small subunit ribosomal RNA", at positions 28 to 507 of the family's 1533-position model. The record is from RNAcentral.
GACGAACGCUGGCGGCGUGCUUAACACAUGCAAGUCGAACGGGAUUUAGUAGACAGAAGCUUCGGUGGAAGAUUACUAAUGAGAGUGGCGAACGGGUGAGUAACGCGUGAGCAACCUGCCUAUGACAGUGGGAUAGCCUCGGGACACCGGGAUUAAUACCGCAUAAAAUCGUAGAAACACAUGUUUCAACGGUCAAAGAUUUAUCGGUCGUAGAUGGGCUCGCGUCUGAUUAGCUAGUUGGUGAGAUAACAGCCCACCAAGGCGACGAUCAGUAGCCGGGCUGAGAGGAUGAACGGCCACAUUGGAACUGAGACACGGUCCAAACUCCUACGGGAGGCAGCAGUGGGGAAUAUUGCACAAUGGGGGAAACCCUGAUGCAGCGACGCCGCGUGAACGAAGAAGGUAUUCGUAUCGUAAAGUUCUGUCCUAUGGGAAGAUAAUGACAGUACCAUAGAAGAAAGCUCCGGCUAAAUACGUG